CCACUGCCAAGGAAAUCUCUUGUUCCUGCUCCCGAGGUCUCUGAAUCCCGUGGCCUCACUGAGCGGGAGGUGCAGGGCUCCCUUCCUGCAGCCUGGCUCCUGCCCACCAUCCCAGCCCCCUCUCAUGGAAGGGACACUUCGGAUGGCACCCCACUGCUGCCCCAGGUGGAGUGAGAAGGCUCCCGAAGCCAGGGUUUCAUCUCCAGACGGAGGAGAGGCUGGGCGGCGCGGGACCGCCUCAGGGAGCAGGGCAGGAAGAGCGGGGCGCAGACGCCGGCAGGCCCCCGGGUCCUCUCUGUCCAGUUCCUUCCACCUGGCAGUCUCCCUGACCCGUUGCACUACAUUUGGACGUCAGAUUUGCAUGCGUGUUCUGUUAUGCCACACCUUCUAUGAGUGGGGAGCCGAACGACAGGGGACUCAAGGCUCGUGAGUAGAGGGAUUUGGACCCAGACAACCUGGUGCUGACGCCCACCCGCUGAUCAUCACCACCCUCCGCCAUUUUCCUGAAGACAGCUGAGGCUUAGAAAGUAAAGAACUUGCCCCUUGAGAGCCCGCGAGUGGCCUGGGAAGCCUGCAGUCCUGCUGCUUCUCUUGGACCGAGGGCUGCUGGCCCCGGAGGGUUUCGUGGAGGAGCUUGGCUGCAGAAACCGCCAAGCCACCCAGAGAUCCUGGGGACACAAUCUGUGCUCUAGACCUGUCCCUACCCACCUUGCGGCUCUUCACAUGAGGUCCACACACCAUUCAAAACCUGGCUUAACAGGGACUCAGAGCUCUGUGAAGCCUUCCUCAGUCUCUGCCCCCCUCCCCUCCUUCCCCACCAAGGCCCCCCGAGGGAGGACUGGAGGAUCAGUCACAUCCCAAGUCCUCACAGUGUGGAAGUGGCAGGACAGGACUGGCCGCCCCGAGGGGAGGUGGCAGCAAAUGUUUGCAGGAUGAAUGAAUAAAAGGAAAAAAAUGAUAACAAA
Phyllostomus hastatus (greater spear-nosed bat) is the source of this 965-nucleotide long non-coding RNA. RefSeq lists it as uncharacterized. The transcript has 2 exons. The record is from RefSeq and is a predicted model, not a curated record. NCBI's taxonomy places the organism in Eukaryota, Metazoa, Chordata, Mammalia, Chiroptera, Phyllostomidae.